UAGGAUGAAAGGUAGAAAUUUUAAAGGAAAGUUUUAUUUAAUAAUUUUGAAUUUAGAUUAAGAGUAAAAAUUCUUUUAUUAUUCUUUGGGACGAGAAGACCCUAGAAGCUUUAAAUUUUGAAAAUUUUUAGUUGGGGUAAUAAUUGAAGAAAUAAAUUUUUAAUUUAGUAAAGUAAAGAAAAGGAAGUUACUCUAGGGAUAACAGCGUUAUAUAGUUAGCAAGUUCUUAUUAAUAACUAUGUUUGCGACCUCGAUGUUGAAUUAAUUUAGUAUCUUUGGUGAAGGAGUUAAAAGUAGUUUUAGUCUGUUCGACUAUUAAAAAUUACAUGAUUUGAGUUCAAACCGGUUUAAUCCAGGUCG
Molecule: ribosomal RNA, 360 nt
Filed under: Ogloblinia argenteopilosa
Lineage: Eukaryota; Metazoa; Arthropoda; Arachnida; Opiliones; Gonyleptidae
Description: partial large subunit ribosomal RNA
Rfam family: Bacterial large subunit ribosomal RNA (bases 57-360)
Source: RNAcentral